RNAcentral lists this non-coding RNA (27 nucleotides) under Rattus norvegicus (Norway rat). The record is from RNAcentral. Lineage: Eukaryota; Metazoa; Chordata; Mammalia; Rodentia; Muridae.
UAUGAGUCACAUUCAGUUUAAGGCUGG